This 542-nucleotide ribosomal RNA is filed under the name uncultured Glomeromycotina. Its description in RNAcentral is "SSU rRNA". It matches the Rfam family "Eukaryotic small subunit ribosomal RNA", at positions 552 to 1096 of the family's 1831-position model. Lineage: Eukaryota; Fungi; Glomeromycota. The record is from RNAcentral.
AGGGCAAGUCUGGUGCCAGCAGCCGCGGUAAUUCCAGCUCCAAUAGCGUAUAUUAAAGUUGUUGCAGUUAAAAAGCUCGUAGUUGAAUUUCGGGAUCAAUCUAUCGGUCGUGCAAUAGUACGUACUGAUUUUAUUGAUUCCUCCCUUCUGAUGAACUAUGAUGUCAUUAAUUUGGUGUCAUAGGGAAUCAGGACUGUUACUUUGAAAAAAUUAGAGUGUUUAAAGCAGGCUCACGCUUGAAUACAUUAGCAUGGAGUAACGAAAUAGGACGUUUGAUUCUAUUUUGUUGGUUUCUAGGAUCGACGUAAUGAUUAAUAGGGAUAGUUGGGGGCAUUAGUAUUCAAUUGUCAGAGGUGAAAUUCUUGGAUUUAUUGAAGACUAACUACUGCGAAAGCAUUUGCCAAGGAUGUUUUCAUUAAUCAAGAACGAAAGUUAGGGGAUCGAAGACGAUCAGAUACCGUCGUAGUCUUAACCAUAAACUAUGCCGACUAGGGAUCGGAUGAUGUUAAUUUUUUAAUGACUCAUUCGGCGCCUUACGGGAA